CCUACGGGUGGCAGCAGUGGGGAAUAUUGGACAAUGGGGGGAACCCUGAUCCAGCCAUGCCGCGUGUGUGAAGAAGGCCCUCGGGUUGUAAAGCACUUUCAGUGAGGAAGAACGCCUGGUGGUUAAUACCCAUCAGGAAAGACAUCACUCACAGAAGAAGCACCGGCUAACUCCGUGCCAGCAGCCGCGGUAAUACGGAGGGUGCGAGCGUUAAUCGGAAUUACUGGGCGUAAAGCGCGCGUAGGUGGCUUGAUAAGCCGGUUGCGAAAGCCCCGGGCUCAACCUGGGAACGGCAUCCGGAACUGUCAAGCUAGAGUGCAGGAGAGGAAGGUAGAAUUCCCGGUGUAGCGGUGAAAUGCGUAGAGAUCGGGAGGAAUACCAGUGGCGAAGGCGGCCUUCUGGACUGACACUGACACUGAGGUGCGAAAGCGUGGGUAGCAAACAGGAUUAGAUACCCGAGUAGUC
Molecule: ribosomal RNA, 465 nt
Filed under: Vreelandella stevensii
Lineage: Bacteria; Pseudomonadati; Pseudomonadota; Gammaproteobacteria; Oceanospirillales; Halomonadaceae
Description: partial 16S ribosomal RNA
Rfam family: Bacterial small subunit ribosomal RNA
Source: RNAcentral